This 263-nucleotide unclassified non-coding RNA is filed under the name plant metagenome. Its description in RNAcentral is "partial contains small subunit ribosomal RNA, internal transcribed spacer 1, and 5.8S ribosomal RNA". The record is from RNAcentral.
UUUCCGUAGGUGAACCUGCGGAAGGAUCAUUAUUGUAUAACCGAGGUGCGAGGGCUGUCGCUGACCCGAAAGGUCGUGCACGCCCGAGUGCCCUCACACACAUCCACCUCACCCCUAUGUGCACCACCGCGUGGGUCCCCCUUUGGCUUGUUCGGAGGGGGGCUUACGUUUUCACACAAACUUUGUAUGCAGUGUAGAAUGUAUUUUUUGUUUUUGCGAUCACGCAAUCAAUACAACUCUCAACAACGGAUCUCUUGGCUCUC